CCGAAGCCUCCCCAGGGCAGCAGCCACCUCAAUGGCGCAAGCUAUCGCCAUUGUCUUCCUGAUCUCAACUGUUGUCCAAGAACUUAAUAAUAUAACACCUAUGUCAAAGUUUUCAAGCAUGGCCACAAGCUCGCGCAGGCAGACCUAAUUACCAUUCCGAGGCAGUCUCAACUGUUGGCUCAAGAUCUGACGAUUGCUGCCAUUCCAAUUUCGAUUAAAAACACGUAGUGAUGACAGCUCACUGGAACCCUAACUUCACCCCUUAGGCCCUAAUUUCACUUUCCCCCUCACGUCUCCUCCUUCCUGUCUCUUUAUGUUAAUUUUUAUACUCGAAAAAUGUGAGAUUGAACUAACUGUAUCUCUAGACAUUAUGUAAAAAAAUAUGAAAAUAUCAACAAUAUAGUUUCGACAACCAUUCAUAAAUUAAAUAUUAAUAAUAUGAAAUCGGCAUGCAUGGUGUCGGGUCCAUGGUGUGCUAUCCGUGUGUUAGGCGGAGUGAGACUGAGAGAUGAUGGAGAAAGUAGAGGCCUAGUACACGUCAGUUAUUUUCUGUUACUUUCUUAAUGUUCUUUUUGUGGUUAGGCAUCUGACUGGCACAUCAUAAGUUUGUCCUGGGCUGCUCAGCUCACAUGCAAUUGAUGCUUGACAGUGACUGUCAAAACUAGUGUUGCUCGAUUUGACGGCUUAUACAUGGAUGCCUGACAAUCACAAUGAAACCUCCAUGUUCAAACACAAUCACAAUGCAAAUGCCUGCCCUUGGAUCCGACUGAUACAUUUGUGUACUGACCACUGCUGGCAACAUCAUAGCUUGUCUGCUGGCCUGGUGCGCGUCAACCACGAGGGCAGGACCAGUGACCUGGCAAGGUGAGGUGGGUCGCUCAGACAUGGUGCUUUAAGUCUGAGGUGACUCUGCUUUAUUCGUCUUUCUUUCAACAGUGUUCAACAUCCAUCGAUCAUGAUUUGUGAAGUACCUGGAUUUAUUACUUAAUAUAGCAUUUCUCAUCUAACAUUGCACAAAGACCUUCAUGAAUUCUUGAUUGCUUUUUGGAACGCGGAAAGCACAAUCGUUAUUUUCCUUUAUAAGUUCAUUAAAUGGCCAUGAACCACGAUACAUUCAUAGCUUUUACCGUGUUGGCAAUUUAUAACUAAACAUGGUCUACAAACAAGGACUCCCCUAGACCAGCAAAACGGAAGAGGAAUUUUGUAGUUGACAACCUUUUUCAAUAAUUUUAGAAUAUCUUCAUUUAUUUAUCAAUUCUAGUUUUACUAUCCGGACCAGUUUGUGUAAACGCCAGCACGGGUGCUAAUUAUAUGCGUCGGCUUCAUUAUGUUGGUAUGAUAACCGAUACAGAUGACAUUUUAGCGGUACGGAUGAGGUGCUCUCUAGUUGUAAUAAUCAACUCUUAAAAAUAUAACUUAGAAACUCGUCUUGGUCACUCGUGCUGCUUUGCAAGUUAAGCACUUUGAGUGCUAUAGUUCUUUUUAACAUGUCUACAUUGAUGGAUCGAGUGCCAUGAUUCUUUUGUGUUUACUUUGAAAAGAAGAAGAUGGCUUAGAUUCUGCAUUCAGAGUUUGAACCUACAAGUGUCAAGGGGCCAUACAUUCCUGAUUUCCUGUGUGCAUUGUUGGCUGUUGUUUGCCACUAAUAUAAUACAGACACCGUCGUACUUUCUAUUGGAUGUGGAUGUCCUAUUUUUCUGAUUCUAAUGCUUGUGCAUUUAUUAAGGAUCUAGAAACAAAAUUGACAGCGCGGCUUUCAGUUAAAAUAAUAUAAGUAAUUAGGAGUAAUGUGAUCAAUUCUCACAACUAAUAAUAAUAAUGUGUCUGAUUUUUUUCAAAAAAAAACUUAUUUGGGAACAGUGGGAUCGAGUACUCUUUUUUAGGUGCAUUUAAACUUACUUAUGCUAUUGGAUCAGGGGCGCCGGACACCACUGAAGUAUCACUAAUUAGCUAGUUCACCACGCUCCAAACCAAAAUGGAUUGAGAAAUUAAAAUGGAGCCGGAGGAGCAGUGCCUCGGAAUCGUAUCUCUUCGGCAAGCCAGGGGACAGGCUCUGGUGACGGGGCGCGUUGUAAAAGCCGCUCUUUUUGUCCGGUUCGACCUGUUCUGAAUCUAUUGCUCGAUUUGAGGGCCUAUACAUGUGCAAUGCAACAAUGGUGUUACAUCUCCAUACUCAUCUACCUAAUAGGGCACCGGCACAUGCAAUGCAAGUUCCUGCAUGCCUGCCCAUCGAUCCGACAGAGAGAUUGGUGUUAAUUAGAAUCAUAUUCGUCACUGACCAAAAUUUCCAGAUAACCAAGUCUAAUCAGUUACUGUAUAUGAUACUUUCAUGCUCAUGCCUACUGACCAUCUUACAAGUACUAUAUAUGAGUGUCCUUUUGUGGUCAGGCACUGCUGCGCGUGAACCACGAGUGGACGCCCAAUCAAAGUAACUGUGUCGUUGCGUGAGAUGCCUCCUCUCCUUGCCUCUUAAUUAUUAAGCCAUGUCCAACAACGACAACAACAAUGAUAAUAAUAAGGAACUGAGGUGAGACAGCUAUAUGCAUAAAUAUAAUUCAACAUAUGGACAAACAACAGAAUAUCUAAGACCUCCUAAUGAUCAGAGUUUUAUAUAUUUCGCUUUAUUUCAACAGUUAAACAUAAAUCGAAUAUGAUUCGUUGAGUAUCUACGAGCUUAGAACUUUUAUUAAGCGUUUAGGGCUAUGUUUGUUAGGAAUCCUUUUAUCAGUGAGUGCUGGUUGCUGAUUUGCUUCGAUCCAUGAAAAUAAGGAUAAAUUUGAAAAGAAAGCACAUAGGAAUCUUAGAGACUUUGUAGUGGGCAAUGCCUUCCAGUAGCUUCUCUUCUAAGCUAAAUUUGGCAUCAUAUGAACAAGUAGAAGCUUAGAUGGAUUAAGAGCUACAACUACAUACAAGAUGUUGAAGAAUACUCGAGUGUUUUUUCAUUGCGAAUGACCAUAAACGUUCUCUUCCUCUAGAAAUUUCUUCCAUAGAAAGAGUUUACAAAGAGACGAGCUGUGCACGGAAGACUUUGGUGCUAGCUCAAAGACGGGGCAGCUUGCUGCCUGGACGCAGCCUCGCCAUUUUGAGAACUGGUGUUAAUUACAGAGUCCCGGUAUGGAUGAGACCAAAUAUCUAAGUUGCGAGCGAUAGCCCGGAGCGUUGCAUUUGUGUCAGCAUUAUACGAGCGGAAAACCACGUUGUUGCGGCUGUUCAAAAUUCUCCACAGCACGAUCAGAAGAACAUGAUUCCAAGCGCCUUCAGAAAGGUGUGGGGGCUGCCCGCAGCUCCAUGGGUCUGCCUUUCCCGCGCCAUCAUAGGUGAUCAUCAGAGUAUCCCAAAUUGAAGCAGCAGCAGGACACUCGAAGAAGAGAUGCAUAUCGCUGAUUCCACUACCGUACCGCGCAGCCGCGAGGACAAAAGGCUUCAUCUUCCUUCAGGAUGUUUAUGUAUAUAUGUAAAUUAUCACAAAAUGUUCUGGCCGGUAAUGGUUGAAAGGAAGCAAAGCAUAGGAGGAGUGGCUAGAGUGCAUCACGUAGAGGUAGGCCUGCUAAUUGGAUUGAAAUCCAACUCUAACCCACACCAAUCCACAUCACGUUAAUUUCUUUUUUCAACCUAACUCACCCCAUAUCUAUAUUAUCUAAACCCAAACCGUUGAUAAAACUCAUGGUUUUGCUAUAUAUAUAAACCUAUGGGCUUAUAUAAAAAACUCGUAUAUAUUUGAAAUAAACGUGAGUCCACCAUGUGGGUCCUACGUGAAGAGCUAGACUCUAAAACUAAAAUGUCGUAUUCACACCUUAAAAUUUUAGCGAAAUUGAUCGAAAUUUGUUGGAGAUGACAGAGUUUGACUGCACGCUACAUUAUGCUAAAUAGUAUGGCUAAACAUACAUAGAGAAAUGAGGAAUGAGGUUGCAGGUUUGAAAGGCAAUCAAAACACUUGUGUUAAUGUCACGGAAAAAACGGUUGAGUCCAGGGGUUGCAUCACAUAUCCACCUAGGACCCUUGUGGUUGCAUCACAAUCGCACGUGUUGAAGAACGUGUGUGUGGUCCUAUAUAUUCUCCUAGAGGCACUCAGUCACCGGGGACUUCUAUUGCUCAGCUCACCAAGCUCAUAUAAUACCUAGUAGCUCGAGCACAGCAACGCACGCAGCCAUGGCGAGCAUGGAGAGCCGAAGCCUCCCCAGGGCAGCAGCCACCUCCAUGGCGCUAGCUAUCGCCAUUGUCUUCCUGAUCUACACAACCGCACGACUGGGAGAUGCGGCAUCCGUUGAGCACACGUUCAUGGUAAGUACGCAUGAUCCUGUUUCAUUCCCUUUGAUCGACUUGUCAGGCGUUAAUCGGUUAUGGUGCAACGAUAUUUACAUUGUAUUAUAGGGUGUUUUUUAAGACAAGCAUAUGCAUCGAUAAACGGUUCUAGAAAAUUAUUUUCUAAAUUAAGAUAUGCGUAAUCAACAAAGGCGUACAUUAG
RNAcentral lists this long non-coding RNA (4465 nucleotides) under Setaria italica (foxtail millet). RNAcentral describes it as "long non-coding RNA (SITA_LNC006224)". The record is from RNAcentral. Lineage: Eukaryota; Viridiplantae; Streptophyta; Magnoliopsida; Poales; Poaceae.